This 302-nucleotide ribosomal RNA is filed under the name uncultured bacterium. RNAcentral's name for it is "partial 16S ribosomal RNA". It matches the Rfam family "Bacterial small subunit ribosomal RNA", at positions 508 to 807 of the family's 1533-position model. The record is from RNAcentral.
GCAGUCGCCACGGUAAUACAGAGGGUGCGAGCGUUAAUCGGAUUUACUGGGCGUAAAGCGUGCGUAGGCGGCUUUUUAAGUCGGAUGUGAAAUCCCUGAGCUUAACUUAGGAAUUGCAUUCGAUACUGGGAAGCUAGAGUAUGGGAGAGGAUGGUAGAAUUCCAGGUGUAGCGGUGAAAUGCGUAGAGAUCUGGAGGAAUACCGAUGGCGAAGGCAGCCAUCUGGCCUAAUACUGACGCUGAGGUACGAAAGCAUGGGGAGCAAACAGGAUUAGAUACCCCUGUAGUCCCUGUCUCUUAUAC